Molecule: ribosomal RNA, 484 nt
Filed under: uncultured bacterium
Lineage: Bacteria
Description: bacterial SSU rRNA
Rfam family: Bacterial small subunit ribosomal RNA
Source: RNAcentral
GACGAACGCUGGCGGCGUGCUUAACACAUGCAAGUCGAGCGGUAAGGCACCUUCGGGUGUACACGAGCGGCGAACGGGUGAGUAACACGUGAGUAAUCUGCCCUUCACUUCGGGAUAACCGCCGGAAACGGUGGCUAAUACCGAAUACGACGCACUCCCGCAUGAGAUGUGCGUGGAAAGUCUUAUCGGUGGAGGAUGUGCUCGCGGCCUAUCAGCUUGUUGGUGGGGUAACGGCCUACCAAGGCUUCGACGGGUAGCCGGCCUGAGAGGGUGACCGGCCACACUGGGACUGAGACACGGCCCAGACUCCUACGGGAGGCAGCAGUGGGGAAUAUUGGACAAUGGGCGAAAGCCUGAUCCAGCAACGCCGCGUGAGGGAUGACGGCCUUCGGGUUGUAAACCUCUUUCAGCGCAGACGAAGCGAAAGUGACGGUAUGCGCAGAAGAAGGACCGGCCAACUACGUGCCAGCCGCCGCUGUAACAC